RNAcentral lists this ribosomal RNA (253 nucleotides) under uncultured bacterium. RNAcentral describes it as "partial 16S ribosomal RNA". It matches the Rfam family "Bacterial small subunit ribosomal RNA", at positions 524 to 776 of the family's 1533-position model. The record is from RNAcentral.
UACGGGGGGAGCAAGCGUUGUUCGGAUUUACUGGGCGUAAAGAGCUCGUAGGCGGCUUGUCGCGUCGUUCGUGAAAACCCGGGGCUCAACUCCGGGCUUGCGGGCGAUACGGGCAGGCUAGAGUUCGGUAGGGGAGACUGGAAUUCCUGGUGUAGCGGUGAAAUGCGCAGAUAUCAGGAGGAACACCUAUUGCGAAGGCAGCUCGCUGGGACGUAACUGACGCUGAGACGCGAAAGCGUGGGGAGCAAACAGG